AUCUGGGCGGCGGAAUUCAAGACGGCUGGCGAGUCUCGCGCUCGUUCGGCCGUUUGAUAUUUCCGUCGCCGUGUCAGACGUCGCGACCUGUUUGUCGUCGGUCCUUGCUCGGAGGAAUCGCGAUCGAGUUCGUUGCGGGCGCGCUUCGGUGUGCUUCGCGGCGAAGACGCGACUCUCUGACUGACGACGGACAGUAAGCAACGGUGUCCGGCGUCGUGUCUCGCACUCGGCGUCGGUGCCGGUCAGCGACGAUUUCUUCGGGCCUCUUUCCGACCCGUCUUGAAACACGGACCAAGGAGUCUAACAUGCGCGCGAGUCGCGGGGUUUCGAGCGUACCACGGUGCGCUCGUUACUUCCGAAACCCGUACGUUGAAGGCGUAAUGAAAGUGAAUAGGGAAGAUGGCGUUCCGAGUCCACGUACCGUGAUCGAGUAUCGCGGCCGGACGUCCGCACUCCCGGGGCGUCUCAAUGGUUCGCCACGGAUGCGGACGAUCGUCUUUCGGGGCGGUCGUCGGUCUGUGGCGGUCCGA
Molecule: ribosomal RNA, 530 nt
Filed under: Chionaspis salicis
Lineage: Eukaryota; Metazoa; Arthropoda; Insecta; Hemiptera; Diaspididae
Description: eukaryotic LSU rRNA
Source: RNAcentral